RNAcentral lists this ribosomal RNA (438 nucleotides) under uncultured bacterium. Its description in RNAcentral is "bacterial SSU rRNA". It matches the Rfam family "Bacterial small subunit ribosomal RNA", at positions 954 to 1392 of the family's 1533-position model. The record is from RNAcentral.
GCUAAACGCGAAGAACCUUACCCAGACUUGACAUGCAGUGGACGAUAGUAGAAAUAUUAUUUCCCUUCGGGGCCGCUGCACAGGUGCUGCAUGGCUGUCGUCAGCUCGUGCCGUGAGGUGUUGGGUUAAGUCCCGCAACGAGCGCAACCCUUGUGAACAGUUGCCAGCGCGUCAUGGCGGGAACUCUGUUCAGACUGCCCAGGUCAACUGGGAGGAAGGUGGGGACGACGUCAGGUCAGUAUGGCCCUUACGCCUUGGGCUGCACACGUACUACAAUGCCCAGCACAAUGAGAACCGAUGCCGCGAGGUGGAGGAAAUCUGCAAAACUGGGCUCAGUUCGGAUUGGAGGCUGCAACUCGCCUCCAUGAAGUUGGAAUCGCUAGUAAUGGGGCAUCAUCUACGGCCCCGUGAAUACGUUCCCGGGUCUUGUACACACCG